AUUUGGUUAAGUUAGAAAGGGCGCACGGUGAAUGCCUUGGCACUAGGAGCCGAAGAAGGACGUGACGAACGACGAAACGCCUCGGGGAGCUGUAAGUAAGCUUUGAUCCGAGGAUAUCCGAAUGGGGGAACCCACCAUCCGUAAUGGGAUGGUACCCAUACCUGAAUACAUAGGGUAUGAGGAGGCAGACCUGGGGAACUGAAACAUCUAAGUACCCAGAGGAAGAGAAAGCAAAUGCGAUUUCCUUAGUAGCGGCGAGCGAAACGGAAACAGCCCAAACCAAGAGGCUUGCCUCUUGGGGUUGUAGGACGUCUCACAUGGAGUAAGAAAAGAAGAGCAUAAGCGAAGCGAUCUGGAAAGGUCCAUCGUAGAGGGUAACAAUCCCGUAGCUGAAAUGCUCUUCUCUCCGAGACGGAUCCUGAGUACGGCGGGACACGUGAAACCCCGUCGGAAUCCGGGAGGACCAUCUCCCAAGGCUAAAUACUCCCUAGUGACCGAUAGUGAACCAGUACCGUGAGGGAAAGGUGAAAAGCACCCCGGGAGGGGAGUGAAAUAGAUCCUGAAACCGUGUGCCUACAACUAGUCAGAGCCCGUUAAUGGGUGAUGGCGUGCCUUUUGUAGAAUGAACCGGCGAGUUACGAUGUCGUGCAAGGUUAAGCUUAAAAAGCGGAGCCGCAGCGAAAGCGAGUCUUAAUAGGGCGCUUUAGUACGCCGUCGUAGACCCGAAACCGUGUGAUCUACCCAUGUCCAGGGUGAAGUUCAGGUAACACUGAAUGGAGGCCCGAACCCACGUAUGUUGAAAAAUGCGGGGAUGAGGUGUGGGUAGGGGUGAAAUGCCAAUCGAACUCGGAAAUAGCUGGUUCUCCCCGAAAUAGCUUUAGGGCUAGCCUCGAGGUGAGAGUUUUGGAGGUAGAGCACUGAUUGAACUAGGGGUCCCCACAGGAUUACCGAAUUCAGUCAAACUCCGAAUGCCAAAAACUUAUCCUCGGGAGUCAGACUGCGAGUGCUAAGAUCCGUAGUCAAGAGGGAAACAGCCCAGACCAUCAGCUAAGGUCCCAAAGUAUACGUUAAGUGGAAAAGGAUGUGGAGUUGCUUAGACAACCAGGAUGUUGGCUCAGAAGCAGCCACCAUUUAAAGAGUGCGUAAUAGCUCACUGGUCGAGUGACUCUGCGCCGAAAAUGUACCGGGGCUAAACGUAUCACCGAAGCUAUGGAUGAACACCUUAUGGUGUUCGUGGUAGGGGAGCGUUCUAAGUGCAGCGAAGUCAGACCGGAAGGACUGGUGGAGCGCUUAGAAGUGAGAAUGCCGGUAUGAGUAGCGAAAAGAGGGGUGAGAAUCCCCUCCGUCGAAAGCCCAAGGUUUCCUGAGGAAGGCUCGUCCGCUCAGGGUAAGUCGGGACCUAAGCCGAGGCCGAAAGGCGUAGGCGAUGGACAACAGGUUGAAAUUCCUGUACCACCUCCUCACCGUUUGAGUAAUGGGGGGACGCAGAAAGGUAGGGUAAGCGCGGCGAUGGAAUGCCGCGUCCAAGCAGUUAGGCUGAGAAGUAGGCAAAUCCGCUUCUCGUGAAGGCUGAGCUGUGAUGGCGAGGGAAAUUUAGUACCGAAGUUCCUGAUCCUACACUGCCUAGAAAAGCCUCUAGCGAGGUGAGAGGUGCCCGUACCGCAAACCGACACAGGUAGGCGAGAAGAGAAUUCUAAGACGCUCGGGAGAACUCUCGUUAAGGAACUCGGCAAAAUGACCCCGUAACUUCGGGAGAAGGGGUGCUCUAUUAGGGUGCAAGCCCGAGAGAGCCGCAGUGAAUAGAUCCAAGCGACUGUUUAGCAAAAACACAGGUCUCUGCGAAGCCGCAAGGCGAAGUAUAGGGGCUGACACCUGCCCGGUGCUGGAAGGUUAAGAGGAGGGGUUAUCCGUAAGGAGAAGCUCUGAAUUGAAGCCCCAGUAAACGGCGGCCGUAACUAUAACGGUCCUAAGGUAGCGAAAUUCCUUGUCGGGUAAGUUCCGACCCG
RNAcentral lists this ribosomal RNA (2006 nucleotides) under bacterium LRH843. RNAcentral's name for it is "partial 23S ribosomal RNA". It matches the Rfam family "Bacterial large subunit ribosomal RNA", at positions 1 to 1990 of the family's 2925-position model. The record is from RNAcentral.